AAUAGAUACCCGGGUAGUCCACGCCGUAAACGAUGAGUGCUAAGUGUUAGAGGGUUUCCGCCCUUUAGUGCUGCAGCUAACGCAUUAAGCACUCCGCCUGGGGAGUACGGCCACAAGGCUGAAACUCAAAGGAAUUGACGGGGGCCCGCACAAGCGGUGGAGCAUGUGGUUUAAUUCGAAGCAACGCGAAGAACCUUACCAGGUCUUGACAUCCUCUGACACUCCUAGAGAUAGGACUUUCCCCUUCGGGGGACAGAGUGACAGGUGGUGCAUGGUUGUCGUCAGCUCGUGUCGUGAGAUGUUGGGUUAAGUCCCGCAACGAGCGCAACCCUUGAUCUUAGUUGCCAGCAUUCAGUUGGGCACUCUAAGGUGACUGCCGGUGACAAACCGGAGGAAGGUGGGGAUGACGUCAAAUCAUCAUGCCCCUUAUGACCUGGGCUACACACGUGCUACAAUGGAUGGUACAAAGGGCAGCAAAGCCGCGAGGCCUAGCCAAUCCCAUAAAACCAUUCUCAGUUCGGAUUGU
RNAcentral lists this ribosomal RNA (526 nucleotides) under uncultured bacterium. RNAcentral describes it as "bacterial SSU rRNA". It matches the Rfam family "Bacterial small subunit ribosomal RNA", at positions 777 to 1301 of the family's 1533-position model. The record is from RNAcentral.